RNAcentral lists this ribosomal RNA (405 nucleotides) under uncultured Thermus sp. RNAcentral describes it as "bacterial SSU rRNA". It matches the Rfam family "Bacterial small subunit ribosomal RNA", at positions 985 to 1382 of the family's 1533-position model. Lineage: Bacteria; Thermotogati; Deinococcota; Deinococci; Thermales; Thermaceae. The record is from RNAcentral.
UGCGUAGGGAACCCGGGUGAAAGCCCUGGGGGUGCCCCGGCGAGGGGAGCCCUAGCACAGGUGCUGCAUGGCCGUCGUCAGCUCGUGCCGUGAGGUGUUGGGUUAAGUCCCCGCAACGAGCGCAACCCCCGCCGUUAGUUGCCAGCGGUUCGGCCGGGCACUCUAACGGGACUGCCCGCGAAAGCGGGAGGAAGGAGGGGACGACGUCUGGUCAGCAUGGCCCUUACGGCCUGGGCGACACACGUGCUACAAUGCCCACUACAAAGCGAUGCCACCCGGCAACGGGGAGCUAAUCGCAAAAAGGUGGGCCCAGUUCGGAUUGGGGUCUGCAACCCGACCCCAUGAAGCCGGAAUCGCUAGUAAUCGCGGAUCAGCCAUGCCGCGGUGAAUACGUUCCCGGGCCUU